CAAACUGCGCAUGUGUGAGCAUGCGCAGUUCGGCUGGGAGCCGGGAUUGCUACAAACGAAGAUCGCACCAGCGAUCCAACGGCCACGCUUGAUGCGGCGUCCCAGAAAACCAGAUCUGAGGAUACUGUACAAUGAACAAUCAAAACAUGAAAAAGCAUGAAUGACAACACAGCUGGUUAAAGUGAGAAGAUCUGAACACAGAAGCUACACCAGACAGCAAAGAUUGUGAGCUCCACUUGUGAAGCACUACAUGUCCUUGGAACAUACAGACAAGGACCUUCUGGGUCAUAGAAAAGCUGCAAGUGUACUCUUCACAACAAAUUCGGUUUUUGAAGAAAAGGGAGUCUUUCUGGAUCUUCAUGUUGGAUGCUCUGGUGCCAAGAGGUUUGAAUGAAGAAAUUGAUUGGCUGUCUGUCUGACGGACUUGGCUGCUUUUUGGACUGAGGGGCAAAUGAAACAUUUUACAUCUUGAUGAGCUGCCCAUGUUGCAUCUCAAGAAUAUUUGACACCACUUACUCCAAGAGUCAACAUCUCGGUGUAAGGACUAGAUGGCUUUCUCACAACAGAUUUCCAUCCACCUGCCAUAGCUACCUCCAGUCAUCCAAAGACACAUCAUCAAAUGGGGAAAAGAAAUCAGCAUCAGAGUUCUGAGGUGUAUGAGACUGGCAAGGGUAAUUUAUCCGGCUACGGCAUCGUCUCCCGACUCCCAUGGAGGAAAACAACAAAAAAAGCACAGUUUCUGACAUUUGGUUUGAAAAUAGAAUAUAAUCUACAGAUGUCAUUGAAGCAAUUUUCAAAGACAGAUCUUAUGCUAAAUAAUAUUCCGAAGACCAUUAAGACAGCAGUCUUAAUUAGCUUGUCCGGCCACAGUGAGGAUUUCAGAAAGGGCUCCUAAGUGUUUCUACGGCUCUAUCACAAGCAAUUUACUUCGAGAGGAAUGAAUCAGAUGUCAGCAUCUCCCCCCCCCCCAGAGCCAUCUUGCAGUUCCUGUGCAUUUGUUCAUCACACGUAUUUAAUGGCCAUAUGGGUACUGUCAAUUGCUUCUGUAAUGCUAGGAAAUCAAGCAAUCCAAACAGAUCAUUUCCACUGGACGCAGGUGCUGCCUCUUUAAAGGGAAAGAUGUACUGGGAUGUUUCCUUAAUUAAAGCCUCAAAUCCUUCAUUUAGAAAGAGCAAAACACAAAUUUCUGAGGGUUAGCAUCCGGGAGGUGAGCGGCCUGGAUGUUCCACGCUGCUGUUAUUUGUAUGCUGCUGUGCUCUGUGCAACUUUGGAAAUCCAAGUAGAUUGGCACGGUGGUCAGGAGCGCCUUCUGUCAGCUGCAUCUGAUUCACCAACUUUCUCAUACCUAGACUCAGCCUAUCUGGUCACGCUGAUCCAUGCUUCUGUACCCGCAAGGCUGGACUACUGCAAUGCAAUCUACAUGGGCCUGCCAUUGAAGACAACCCGACAACUAUAACUGAUCCAAGAUGCAGCAGCCCAACUAUUGUCAGGAACAGAUUAUACCUGUUUGAAAUAGCUAUAAUGGCCACCAGUCUGUCUCCAAGGUCACUUCAAUGUGCUGAUUACCUGUACAGACCCCCACAAUCUGGGACCCACAUAUUUGGAGGACCGUCUCCUUCCAUAUGCCAGUUACAGUCAUCACGCAGCCAUCUGUUGGCUAUGCCACCACUUAGGGUGGCCCGUCUGACAUCGACUA
This is a long non-coding RNA of Gekko japonicus, 1696 nucleotides long. RefSeq lists it as uncharacterized. The record is from RefSeq and is a predicted model, not a curated record. Lineage: Eukaryota; Metazoa; Chordata; Lepidosauria; Squamata; Gekkonidae. The transcript is spliced from 6 exons.